Molecule: ribosomal RNA, 791 nt
Filed under: uncultured archaeon
Lineage: Archaea
Description: bacterial SSU rRNA
Rfam family: Archaeal small subunit ribosomal RNA
Source: RNAcentral
ACGGCUCAGUAACACGUGGAUAACCUGCCCAAGGGUCUGGGAUAACCCCGGGAAACUGGGGAUAAUACCGGAUGGAUCACUAGUGCUGGAAUGCUUGGUGGUCGAAAGGCAACGCCUUUGGAUGGGUCUGCGGCGGAUUAGGUUGACGCCGGUGUAACGUACCGGCGUGCCUGUAAUCCGUACGGGUUGUGGGAGCAAGAGCCCGGAGAUGGAUUCUGAGACACGAAUCCAGGCCCUACGGGGCGCAGCAGGCGCGAAAACUCUACAAUGCAGGCAACUGCGAUAGGGGGACAUCGAGUGGCAUCCACCUUGGGUGCCUGUCCAACCGUCUAAAAAACGGUUGUUAGCAAGGGCCGGGUAAGACCGGUGCCAGCCGCCGCGGUAAUACCGGCGGCUCGAGUGGUGGCCGAUAUUAUUGAGUCUAAAGGGUCCGUAGCCGGCUUUGCAAGUCCCCUGGGAAAUCCAGCGGCUUAACCGUUGGGCUUUCAUGGGAUACUACAUUGCUUGGGACUGGGAGAGGUAGGAGGUACUCGGGGGGUAGGGGUGAAAUCCUGUAAUCCUCCGGGGACCACCGGUGGCGAAGGCGUCCUACCAGAACAGGUCCGACGGUGAGGGACGAAAGCUAGGGGCACGAACCGGAUUAGAUACCCGGGUAGUCCUAGCCGUAAACGAUGCCCGCUAGGUGUCACGACGGUCGUGAAUCGUCGUGGUGCCGUAGGGGAGCCGCGAAGCGGGCCACUUGGGAAGUACGGCCGCAAGGCUGAAACUUAAAGGAAUUGGCGGGGGAGCAC